Molecule: long non-coding RNA, 1594 nt
Filed under: Musa acuminata (dwarf banana)
Lineage: Eukaryota; Viridiplantae; Streptophyta; Magnoliopsida; Zingiberales; Musaceae
Description: long non-coding RNA (MACU_LNC004963)
Source: RNAcentral
GAUUUCCCGACCUCCCCGCCUUGGGCAAAGAUGGGUAUGCACUCUUUUUUUAUUAUGUGGAGGCCUCGUUUCUACCAGAGGUGCUCGUAUACAUCUUUUCUUUUCUUUUUUUCAAAUUUAUAGGCCUCCAUGAUGAUGGGAUGCGUUGGGCAAUAACCUACCCACCUCGAGUAAAGGAGGGAUCGAUACUCUAAUUCCAUGCUUCGGGAAUUCUUUCCCUUGUGUCUCCUGCCAUAGAGGACUUACUCUCAUGCAGGUUAGGUUUUGCUAACUUAUGUGCCCUGGACACAUCUCGUCUUGUACCUUUCAUCGUGGUAAAUUUCUUCUUACGAAGAUUAGGUUUUCUCAACUUGUGUGACUCAAGCACAUUUUAUCCUGUGCCUUCUAUCAUGGUAGUAGUUCACGUUUUCCUAACUCAUACUUUGGUCACAUUUUAUCUUGUGCCUCCUGCCAUGGCAUACUUGUUUUAUGUGGGUUAGGUUUUCUUAACUUAUGUACCUCAAGCAUAUUUUGUCAUAUGCCUCAUAUCGUUGUGGGUUUCUUAUUACCCGGGCCAUGCUUUUUAAACUCACAUACCUCGGGCACAUGUUAUCUUUUGCCUCCUACUGUGAUAGGUUUCUUAUUAUGUUGGUCGGGUUCUCCUAACUCAUGUGUUUCUGGCACAUUUUAUCUUGUGCCUCCUAACGUAAUGAGUUUCUUCUCACGGAUCGAGUUUUUCCGACUCAUCCACCUUAAGCACAUGUCUUAUACCUCCCGCCAUGGUGAAUUUUGUAUUAUGCAGGUUGAGUUUUCUCGACUUACAUGCCUCGGGCAUAUUUUGUUUUGUGCCUCCGGUUGUGGUGGGUUUCUUAUUAUAUGGGCCAAGUUUUUUCGAUUCACGUGCCCUAGGUAUAUUUUAUUUUAUGUCUCUCAUCGUGACAGGUAUAUUUUAUCUUGUGUCUCUUAUCCUGACUCACAUAGCUCAGACAUAUUCUGUUUUGUGCCUUCUGUCAUUAUAUUUUUUUUUUACGUGGGUCAAAUUUUCCUGACUCAUGCGUCUCGAGCAUAUUUUAUCUUGUACUUCUCAUCAUGACGAGUUUCUUAUUAUACUGAUCGGGUUUUCUCUAGUCACGUGCCUAGGGCACAAUUUGUCUUGUGCCUCCCAUCGUGAUGGAUUUUUUUGCUCUUUUUAGGUGAUCUUCAAACAUCAAUGACUUUUGCACUUUCUAACGUGAUCUUUACAUAUUGAUCACUUUUGCACUAUCUGAGAUGCCUCUUUGUCUUUAACUUACAACAUCACUAUUACAUCAUGGUUCUUCUUGAUCGCAUAUCGGAUGUCAUCAUUUAUCAAUAGUCCCUUAUGAUCGAUAAUUUCCAUGAGGAGGUGGAGCGUUGAAAAGGAAAAAGGAGACCCAAUGCUUGUCGCUGAGGCAAAGGCUUGAGGAGUCAUGCUGGUGAUGUAACUAGAAGAGACUGAGUGAUGCCUCGUCGAGAAUUGGGUUUGAUGAGGGUCUAUGAUUCUGAGCUCAUCGAGCAAGUUACAAGGUUUCAGGAAGAAGUGAUCCUUGUCUUGUCUUAUGAGGUGUUGGUCCUUAUUGAGUCAUUGAGUCUACCU